This 217-nucleotide long non-coding RNA is filed under the name Phaseolus vulgaris (common bean). RNAcentral describes it as "long non-coding RNA (PVUL_LNC002014)". The record is from RNAcentral. Lineage: Eukaryota; Viridiplantae; Streptophyta; Magnoliopsida; Fabales; Fabaceae.
UACUCAAGGUCAAGGGUAUAGGUUGUUUUGUCUCUUUGAAUUAGUUUGAUUGGUGGGGAAGGUUGUUUUCUUGGUGCAGGUUAAGAUGGUGGGGAGCAGGGAAUCUAUCCUGUAAAAGAAGCACGAAGUGAACAAAGAUCGUGGAAGGAGGCUGGAAGAUUUUAUGCAUCCAGCGUAAAAGAGUGCCUUCAAUUAGUGGGAUGUUUGUGGAAUUGUU